GUGGGGAAUAUUGGACAAUGGGCGAAAGCCUGAUCCAGCCAUGCCGCGUGUGUGAAGAAGGUCUUCGGAUUGUAAAGCACUUUAAGUUGGGAGGAAGGGCAUUAACCUAAUACGUUAGUGUUUUGACGUUACCGACAGAAUAAGCACCGGCUAACUUCGUGCCAGCAGCCGCGGUAAUACGAAGGGUGCAAGCGUUAAUCGGAAUUACUGGGCGUAAAGCGCGCGUAGGUGGUUCAGUAAGUUGGAAGUGAAAUCCCCGGGCUCAACCUGGGAACUGCUUUCAAAACUGCUGAGCUAGAGUACGGUAGAGGGUGGUGGAAUUUCCUGUGUAGCGGUGAAAUGCGUAGAUAUAGGAAGGAACACCAGUGGCGAAGGCGACCACCUGGACUGAUACUGACACUGAGGUGCGAAAGUGUGGGGAGCAAACAGGAUUAGAAACCCGGGUAGUCC
Molecule: ribosomal RNA, 450 nt
Filed under: uncultured bacterium
Lineage: Bacteria
Description: partial 16S ribosomal RNA
Rfam family: Bacterial small subunit ribosomal RNA
Source: RNAcentral